Molecule: ribosomal RNA, 474 nt
Filed under: Triticum aestivum (bread wheat)
Lineage: Eukaryota; Viridiplantae; Streptophyta; Magnoliopsida; Poales; Poaceae
Description: partial small subunit ribosomal RNA
Source: RNAcentral
CUUUGUACUUGCUCUAUCUGUGGGGUUGAGGAUGAGAGCACUUUUCACGCUCUUGUUUCUUGCCCCAAGGCUCGUGCACUUCGGUUGGCGUUGAGGAAAGUUUGGAAUUUGCCCGGGGAAGAGGCUUUCAAUUAUUCAGGUCCGGAUUGGUUACUUAUUUUAUUAAACCAGAUAAGCUGUUCGCAAAGGGAAUGCAUCUUGUUUAUUUUCUGGCAAGCUUGGCACUUGAGGAAUGAUUUGAUUUUUGGGAAAGGAAAAGAAACAGUUACAGGAUCCGCUAUGUUUCUGGAAAGUUACUGGUCUUCCUUUUCGUCGUGUCAGCCUACAAAUGAGGUAGUCACCAAUCACAAAGGAAAGGAGGUGGUGACUGGUUUUGGUGCAAGUAAUAAUGUUGUGAGAUCCAAAGGGGUGUGGCAGGCGCCUCCUUCUGACCACGUCAAGUCAAUGUUGAUGCAAGUUUUGUGGAGAGUUUAA